Molecule: long non-coding RNA, 2478 nt
Filed under: Homo sapiens (human)
Lineage: Eukaryota; Metazoa; Chordata; Mammalia; Primates; Hominidae
Description: non-protein coding lnc-PSG3-1:1
Source: RNAcentral
UCCAGCAGAUCCUUCCCACCCUUUCUACCAGUCAGUGCUGCAUUUGCAAAUGUCCACAUAUAUUUCUGGAAAGAUCCACAUGGUCCUCACCUGCCCUCUGCAGAAGGAGAGGAAACUUGAACGCAGGACAGGCAACAUAGUUCUGCUCCAAAGCCACCAGCUCUUGCCUGUCGCCUUCACUCUUUCUAGAUCAUUCCUUGCACUCUGCUCUAUCUUUAGAGGUCACUGGUUCAAGUAAGUCAUCAUGAAACACCUGCAAAAAACUGCCCCACCUUGAGCCUCCACUGCCUGAUGACUGAACUGACCUCCAGGCUUGAUUCUGGUCUCCCCUGUGUUAUUUCUGCUGAAACAUCCAGUCCCAGGCCAGGCUGCUCAGUAUCUUCAGGGUUUCAGGACCAUGGGUAGUCCCAUCAUUACUCAUCUCUAGAAUGUCCUUGGAAAUGGAAGCUGCAGAGAAAUCACAUCUAGGGGGACAAUGUAGGAUGGAAUUUGGAAGGGGCCCACCAGUUGCACAUUCCAGGUAAGGAACCCAGGGUGAGCCAGCCAGUCAACUGAUUAGGGAGGGACUGGGAGGGAUACCAGGGGCUGUGACUUCCACUGACGUGUCUGUCCAUGACCCAACACUGCUGCUCAAUUGACACUUGAGAAAGUCUGUGCUUCCCUAAGACAGAGCAGCUGGCCUCAUAGUCUUUGAGCCCUUAGAUCAUCAUGCAUCUGUCUUGUGACACACGCACCAGCUAUUGGCUUUCAAGGACUCGGGUGGGCUGAGAAGUGGGAGAUGCCAACUCUGAUUGAAGGAUGCCUGUGGAGGAAUCAAAGGUGCCACACAGGACAAUCUUCUCUCUGUUAUCCACACAGCGAAGCUGCCCAAGCCCUACAUCACCAUCAACAACUUAAAACCCAGGGAGAAUAAGGAUGUCUUAAACUUCACCUGUGAACCUAAGAGUGAGAACUACACCUACAUUUGGUGGCUAAAUGGUCAGAGCCUCCCGGUCAGUCCCAGGGUAAAGCGACCCAUUGAAAACAGGAUCCUCAUUCUACCCAGUGUCACGAGAAAUGAAACAGGACCCUAUCAAUGUGAAAUAAGGGACCAAUAUGGUGGCAUCCGCAGUUACCCAGUCACCCUGAAUGUCCUCUGUGAGUAUCUUUUGUUCCUCUGUGGGCCAGGACACCAGCUUAAAUCAAAACGACCAGAGGCCAGGCCUCUCACUCUCUCUCUGGUCCAAGUAUAGACACCUUCACUUCUGGACAUCCGAGCUGGCCAUGACUCCCUGCCCUGGGAAAACCUGGGUAGGCACAGCCUUAACCAAGAGUAUAAGGGGAGUGGACGCUCUUGUCAUGGGAGACUUGGGGCCCACAGCUUGUGAUGGGAGAAACAGGUGAAUACCUGAGGAUUCGGCUCAGUGAACAUAGAGGGGGUUGGGCUGGGACUUGAGGGUGUGUCUUGGCUCAGAGGGUCACUGUGUCCCUUUAAGAGACCAGGAACAUCCCCUUCCCUCAGAUGACAUCACCUGUGGCUUUAUUCUCUUUGCUCCAGAUGGUCCAGACCUCCCCAGAAUUUACCCUUCAUUCACCUAUUACCGUUCAGGAGAAGUCCUCUACUUGUCCUGUUCUGCGGACUCUAACCCACCGGCACAGUAUUCUUGGACAAUUAAUGGGAAGUUUCAGCUAUCAGGACAAAAGCUCUUUAUCCCCCAAAUUACUACAAAGCAUAGCGGGCUCUAUGCUUGCUCUGUUCGUAACUCAGCCACUGGCAAGGAAAGCUCCAAAUCCAUGACAGUAAAAGUCUCUGACUGGACAUUACCCUGAAUUCUACUAGUUCCUCCAAUUCCAUUUUCUUCCAUGGAAUCGCUAAGAAAAAGACCCACUCUGUUCCAGAAGCCCUAUAAGCUGGAGGUGGACAACUCAAUGUAAAUUUCAUGGGAAAACCCUUGUACCUGAAGGGUGAGCCACUCAGAACUCACUAAAAUGUUCGACACCAUAACAACAGAUGCUCAAACUGUAAACCAGGACAACAAGUGGAUGACUUCACACUGUGGACAGUUUUUCCCAAGAUGUCAGAACAAGACUCCCCAUCAUGAUGAGGCUCUCACCCCUCUUAACUGUCCUUGCUCAUGCCUGCCUCUUUCACUUGGCAGGAUAAUGCAGUCAUUAGAAUUUCACAUGUAGUAGCUUCUGAGGGUAACAAUAGAGUGUCAGAUAUGUCAUCUCAACCCAAACUUUUACAUAACAUCUCAGGGGGAAAUGUGGCUCUCUCCACCUUGCAUACAGGACUCCCAAUAGAAAUGAACACAGAGAUAUUGCCCGUGUGUUUGCAGAUAAGAUGGUUUCUAUGAAGAGGUAGGAAAGCUGAAAUUAUAAUAGAGUCCCCUUUAAAUGCACAUUCUGUGGAUGGCUCUCGCCAUUUCCUAAGAGAUACAUUGUAAAAUGUGACAGUAAUACUGAUUCUAGCAGAAUAAAACAUGUACCACAUUUGCU